This 1063-nucleotide long non-coding RNA is filed under the name Marmota monax (woodchuck). The record is from RNAcentral. Lineage: Eukaryota; Metazoa; Chordata; Mammalia; Rodentia; Sciuridae.
GGGGUUUCCAUGCUCAUAUCAAAUAAUACAGACUUCAAACUAAAGUCAAUCAAAAAGGAUAAAGAAGGACACUACAUACUGCUCAAGGGAACCAUACACCAAUAAGACUUAACAAUUAUAAAUAUAUAUGCCCCAAAUAAGGGAGCAUCUAUGUUCAUCAAACAAACUCUUCUCAAGUUCAAGAGUCAAAUAGACCACAAUAAAAAUAAUUUUGGGUGACUUUAACACACUUCUUUCAUCACUAGAUAGAUCUUCCAAACAAAAGCUGAACAUAGAAACUAUAGAACUCAAUAAUACAAUCAAUAACUUAGACUUAACUGACAUAUUAGAAUAUUUCAUCCUUCAAUGAGAGAAUACACUUUCUUCUCAGCAGCACAUGGAUCCUUCUCUAAAACAGACCAUAUACUAUGCCACAAAGCAACUCUUAUCAAAUAAUAAAAAAGUAGAGAUACUGCCCUGUAUUCUAUCAGGUCAUAAUGGAAUGAAAUUAGAAAUCAAUGAUAAAAUAAGAAAUAAAAUCCACUCCAACACCUGGAAACUAAAUAAUAUGAUACUGAAUGAACAAUGGGUUACAGAGGACAUCGAGGAGGAGAUUAAAAAAGUUUUUAGAGGAGAUUAAAAAGUUUUUAGAGGUAACAGAUACAACAUGUUGAAAUCUCUGGGACACUAUUAAGGCAGUUCUAAGAGGAAAGUUUAUUGCAUGGAGUUCAUACCUUAAAAGAAGAAAAAGCCAACAAAUAAAUGACUUAAUGACUACAUCUCAAAGCCCUAGAAAAAGAAGAACAAAUCAACACCAAAAGCAACAGAAGACAUGAAAUAAUUAAAAUCAGAGCUGAAAUUGAUGAAGUUGAAACAAAAGAAACAAUUGAAAAAAUUGACAGAACAAAAAGUUGGUUCUUUGAAAAAAUAAAUAAAAUUAACAGACCCUUAGCCUUGCUAACAAGGAGGAGAGAGAAAACUCAAAUCACUAACAUACGUGAUGAAAAAGGAAAUAUCACAACAGACACUAUAGAAAUACAGAAGAUAAUUAGAAAUUAUUUUGAAAAUCUGUAUUUCAAUAAAA